Molecule: ribosomal RNA, 450 nt
Filed under: uncultured bacterium
Lineage: Bacteria
Description: partial 16S ribosomal RNA
Rfam family: Bacterial small subunit ribosomal RNA
Source: RNAcentral
GUGGGGAAUUUUGGACAAUGGGCGCAAGCCUGAUCCAGCAAUGCCGCGUGUAGGAAGAAGGCCUUCGGGUUGUAAACUGCUUUUGUACGGAACGAAACGGUCCUGGUUAAUACCUGGGGCUAAUGACGGUACCGUAAGAAUAAGCACCGGCUAACUACGUGCCAGCAGCCGCGGUAAUACGUAGGGUGCGAGCGUUAAUCGGAAUUACUGGGCGUAAAGCGUGCGCAGGCGGUGCUGUAAGACAGGCGUGAAAUCCCCGGGCUCAACCUGGGAAUUGCGCUUGUGACUGCAGUGCUGGAGUACGGCAGAGGGGGAUGGAAUUCCGCGUGUAGCAGUGAAAUGCGUAGAUAUGCGGAGGAACACCGAUGGCGAAGGCAGUCCCCUGGGCCUGUACUGACGCUCAUGCACGAAAGCGUGGGGAGCAAACAGGAUUAGAAACCCUAGUAGUCC